Molecule: long non-coding RNA, 986 nt
Organism: Cyphomyrmex costatus
Lineage: Eukaryota; Metazoa; Arthropoda; Insecta; Hymenoptera; Formicidae
Exons: 5
Source: RefSeq, a predicted model, not a curated record
CGAAAGUUGGGAACAACAAAGGUAGCAGGAUUGAGGACAUUGGCCUAGUUUACACCUAACGACCUGACCUAUACCCUAACCUAUACCCCACCUAAGAAAGGUCUCGUAUGGAGCGUUUACCGCAUAUAGACCUAUAAUAUUUUUGGGCCUAAUGUAGGUCGCAUUUAGUCUCACGAUAGAGACAUCUAUUAAUACACUUUACGCCUUUAGGCCGUCUGCUUGUGUUUACAUGCGUUAAAGCUAGAUAGGUCGUACGGCCUAAGAGAGGUCAGGGAUCUUGAAAAAGAUCCCUUACCUAAGCGAGGUUACAGCUAUUUACACCGUCGUGACCUGUCGUGUUUAGGUUAGAUUUAGAGUAUAGGUAGCGGCCUAAACGUAGGGUGUAAUUGAUUAUGUCAAAGGGUGGACCAUGAUUCCAUUAAAAUAUCCGUAUAGAAAAUGGUGCUGUAUUGUUUUGUGGAAGGUUGCAAUUCGAAGAAAUACUGCAAGAAAGAUGAAAAAAGUGACUCCAGCUUGCAGUUUUACGGAUUUCCAAGCUGUCACGAAAUACAUGAGAAAUGGGUCAAGGCAAUGUCUUUGAAUAAUCAAGAAAUUACUCAAUAGCCAAAAAUCAGCAGAAUCUGGAAUUUGCAUUUUUCCUUGGACUGUUUUGAACAAAUUGGAUUGUGUUUUACUCGUUUAAAAAAAAAUCUAUACCAAAUAUAUUUCCACGCGCUCAAAAUUAAAAUCAAAGCUUGGAAAUAUCCACACAGAAAGUUGUAAAAAUUUUGAAAAAAAUGUUAAUGAAUGCAUAUUGCGAACUCCAAAGAAAUUAGUUCGCGCACAAAAUCAAAAUCAAAGCUUGGAAAUAUCCACACAGAAAGUUGUGAAAACUUUGAAAAAAAUGUUAAUGAAUGCAUAUUGCAAACUCCAAAGAAAUUAGUUCGCGCACAAAAUCAAAAUCAAAGCUUGGAAAUAUCCACAGAAAAUUGUGAAAAUUUUGAAAA